AGGAGCUUAGGCUCCCAA
RNAcentral lists this small nuclear RNA (18 nucleotides) under Arabidopsis thaliana (thale cress). RNAcentral describes it as "snRNA_06125". The record is from RNAcentral. Lineage: Eukaryota; Viridiplantae; Streptophyta; Magnoliopsida; Brassicales; Brassicaceae.